Molecule: long non-coding RNA, 9953 nt
Filed under: Marmota monax (woodchuck)
Lineage: Eukaryota; Metazoa; Chordata; Mammalia; Rodentia; Sciuridae
Source: RNAcentral
CCUAAGCCAAACAUGAGUGACUGUGGUCUGGGAAGUGGCAUUGCAUGACAUACUCCACCAUGCAACUUUUACAGCCACAAAAUAAGGGAAGUCCUAAUCAAUACACUUAGCAAACAUUUGGUAGGUCAUCAGGUAGGCUGGCUAUGAGCAGAGGGAGAAAAUCUUUCCUGUAGUUUUAGCCAUUACCUUAAACAUGCUUAGCUUGGUGGAUGCUUAUAGGUCUGCAAAGCUUGGUUUAUUCUGAGAGUUUUAUCUAAAGUUAUAAUGGCAGAUACAGGAGUUGAAAUUAAGUGGCUACUAAAGAGCCUAAGAAAUACCAAGAUGCUUGGGAUCCCGAUCUGAAAUCUUCCAUCUCUCCACAAUCGCAGUCCUCUUGCUCAGCCAGUCAAGCAGUCUGCAAGAUCUUUUAUAUGGGUGCAGCUUCUUCAGAGACCCUCAGCUCCACACCACCAUGUGAGGUCAGCUUUUUGGAUAUAUGGCUAGUAUUUCUAAACUCUAUUCUAUGGGACACUAUGGUGCUAAAAGAUGAUAACAGCAUUACUGCAAAACCAAAAAUAGAUCAAAACAAAAACUGAGUCAAAUGCAUCUGGGGCCAGGCAUACCAGUAAUCCUAGCAACCUGGUAGGGUGAGGCAGGUGGAUCACAAGUUUGAGGCCAGCCUGGACAAUUUAGUGAGAUCCUGUCUCAAAAUUUAAAAAAGGGUUGGGGAUGUUGCUCAAUGGUAAAGCUCCCCUGGGUUCAAUCCCCAGUGCAUCCGUGCACACACACAUACACACACACACAUACACACAGAAAAAAAGAAACAUCUGGGGAUACUGCAUGCUCCAUGUCCCUCAUAAAUCUUCAUGUUGCACAUUAGCACUCUAAAUUUUAUUGUAGUGAUGGUUGCAUAACUUUGAAUUCACUCAAACCACUGUAUUAUAUAAUUUACAUGAAUGAAUUGUACAUAAAUUAGAUCUUGAUGAAACUUUUGUUGGGGGAGAUUGAACCCAAUGUGAAGAAUGUGAAUCCAAGGGCACUUAACCACGGAGCCACAUCCCCAUCCAUUUUUUUAUGUUUUAUUUAGAGACAGGGUCUCACUAAGUUGCUUAGGGCCUUUCCAAGUUCCUGAGGCUGGCUUGAACUCACAAUUCUCCUGCCUCAGCUUCCCGAGCUGCUGGAUUACAUGCGUGUGCCACCAUACACAACUGCAAUGAGGCUGUUUUCCUAAAAACAGAAUGAACAUCUACCAAUAGGAGGGUUUCACAGCACAGCCUGGGAAGGGAUGCUCUGGACAUCUUUGCCACUCCUGACUAGGCUCUGUGACUAACAUAGUAGCUGUUCUGUAUCACCAGCUAUGUCAACUAUCAAAAGCAUCACUGGUAUUUGAGAAAAUGCUCACAGGGUAGGACAGGGUUUAGGGAGCCCCUGUAUCAAUAAGAUGUGCAGAACUAAGUAGCCACUGUUACACAUGCUUCACACUUUGGUUAUGUGACUGUUCUUACAAAAUACAUGAGAGGUAACCAAAAAGGGACCCCAGAGUCUUGUAAAGUUUCUAACAUCUGGAGUAAGGGAUAGCAUUGCACAGGUAACACAUUGAAUCUCCUCCAGUUAAUGAUUGUCACUGCCAGGGUCUUCAAACUGACUUGUGGCCACUGGGCAAACCUCUGAGGCAGUUCCCCAUCUGUACUAAUCAUACUUGCCUUUUGUUUUCAUUUCAGUGAAAGCUGGUGGAAUGUAGAUCAUGCAGAAACACCCACAUGCUAGAGACACCAAGGAAGAAAGAGACAAGGAUUACCAGGAAUGGGAAAGCCCCAAAUGGUAGACGUCUGGUGACUCUUAACAAACUUUGCAAAUAAUGAUUGUUCUGUUAAACAUUAGUGUUUGUCCUUCCUCUGUUCUGAUAACUCCUGGGCAGCUGGACCUGUGCUGUGUAUUCUUGCUUUCCCUGUCAAUGAGGUAGAGUUCUGUGCCACUUGGGCAGGAGACAGGGCAUGUAAAUUACACCAUUUUCUCUGUUGACAACUCAUGAGCCCAGGCAGGUGCAGGGACUGCAGUGAUGUUGGCACGCACAGGCAGCCUCUCUAUGCCUUGGGUAAGUCAGGGCUCCUCCCUUCCUGAAAGCCAAGGCGCUGUGCCAGCAGGAGCAGGAGACCCUGGAGAAGCUUACUGUGGAUCCUGGGUCUCCGGUGGGGCACAAAGCCACCAUCAUUUCCCUCCAUGCCCGAGUGGAGGAAAUAGGUUAAUUCUUGGGGCUGCAGGUCCUUUACACUCUAGGUUUCCGUUUACUAUUCCAUAGAAGUGUGCACUAACAAUCUGUGGACUGCAGUUCUCCAUUGGAGCUACAGUUCUGAAACCCUUGGGAACCCUGAGAUACUACACUAGUUGAAUCUUGGCCAUCUGCGCAGCUGGGAUGGAAAACUUCUGGUUUAAGAAAUGUUUAUGGGAAAACCUUACGUGACAUCUCUGCUCCCUUUGGGUCUUGGAACCUCUCUGCUUACCUUUCUGUUGGGCACCUCUUUUCCUUGGAGGUUCUGAGUUCAAGCUUGGCUCAAGGGCCUCGUCCUUUGCUGUGCUUGACCUUGCUAUGUACAAGCAGGCAUCACAGACACAUGCACCUCUCUAGGUGUCCACGAGGAAGAAUGUGAACAUCCAAUUUUCUGCUUAUAACUUGUCUCCAGACAGCAGAGGAGGAAACAAAGGGUGGGAGGGAAGGAGGGCGUGGACAGCAGUGAGCUCUUGCUCCUGUUGGCCAGGCACAUGAUCUGACUUCAUUUCACUCCUGUAGUGCUGAGCAGCAGUUAGUAUUCCCCCCGAUUUACAUACAAGGAAAUGGGAUCCCACAUCACGCUCCUUCCCAGUUAAUAGAGCAGUCAUUUAAAUGCAGUUUAGUGGGGUUCAGAGAAGGCCAGGUUUCCAAAAGAAGAUUCCUGGGAGUGCACACCAACAGGAAGGCAGGUAUACUUGGUACCAUGUGUCUGGUGGCAGGUAUGCCCCGCUGGGCAUUUUCCGUAAGCCUUGUAUGGGUGUUUCAGAUUCUAGUCUCUCGUUCACCCAAAAGAUUGCUCUCUUUCUGUGUAGACCCAAGGUUUUGAAGCAAGCUUACCACAGAGUACAGACCCAGUCAAACACUACUUGAGGGGCAGACCUCUGCAUGAAGUUUCUGUGCAAUCAUUUCCCAUUUUGAAUUGAGUAAGCAAUGUCAAAGAAAGUUCAGCCUAAGUCCUGGUUUUAUUUUUUAACUCUUUUUUUCCAUUUGUUUGAUGCUGGGGUUGAACCCUGAGCCCUGCACAUGCUAAUCAUAUACCCGAAUUCUGGUUUUAAAAGAAGAAAGUAGUUUAAAGAAAAUUCCACGAUUAUUUCUCACUGACUGUUUUCCAGAGCUGCAUAUGAGUUGCAAGGGCAGCAGUAACUCCUCCAGGUCCACACCCUGGGGCCCAGGAUGUCUCAGGCUCUAUAAAGGUUGGGGUAUUAGAGAGUGAUGCACAUGUGAUGCAGUAAUGCACACACCAUCCAGCUGCCAGGGCACAGGCACCUGUCUCAAGCUGCUCACUGCCCUCCAACCAGGUGGGCUGAAUGCUCACCUGUAGGGACCUGUAAAUAGUGCAGGUGAAGUUUUGCCUCCAUAUGGAACAUAGGGAAACUCACAAUUUCAGAACAUUUCAGAAUAGAGGGCAAGAGGAUAUGCCCUGCAGUGGUGUCCUCCUCCGGGACCCCUGCUGCUGCCGUCCUUCCUCAAGAUGCAGGAAGAUGUUAAGAGAGAGAAGGUGCUGCUGGAGUGAGGUCCUGCAUGGGUAGGGAAGGUGCCUUUCUGAGUGUCCCUGGGGCAAGGACACAUGGCUCGUCCCCUGCCCAGUCAAGUGCCAAGAAGCCAGAGAUGCAUGCUUAGAAAUAAGGGCAGAGUGGUUUGUCAGUUUUCUUUCUAUUGAUUUUUCCCUGAAAACAAAUACAGCAUAUAUUGAAGAUGAGCAGUUUAAAUAACCGUGCCAGAGGAUGAACAGUGGAAAUGGAAAAGGUGGCUCUCCCCAGCGCUUCAGAUCUAUCUCCUUCACCAGAAAGAUCACUCUCUCUCUCUGUGAAUACCUGAGGUUUUAAAGCAAGCUGACUACAGAGUACAGGCCACAGCUGACUGCUGGUUAUCCAACCCAGUGACAGGUGGCCUGUCAGUGUCCUGGCCAGGACCGCCUCCCGGGUCUGUCUUGAAUUAGCUGCUGUGUGGAGUCUGCAGACACAGUCAGGGACUUUACUUGUCAGUCUCUGCAGCUGAGCUGCAGUGUGUCACUCUUGUCCUCUUCACCCUGGCUGGCUCCUGUCCAGCAUGGGAUAAACCACAUGACACAGAGCACAUGGAGUGCAGGGAGCUGUGCUCUUCAGCUUCUGACCUGUGUCGUCAACACAGCUCCUAAAACUCCGCAUCAGGCCGUGGACCCUGCCUAACCAUUUACUUCUACCACCAGGCCCACCCCAUUUUCCUGUUGGUAGUUGAAUAAUUGGUAAUCAUUGCUGGCUCUUAUGGAGAGCAGGGAAUCUGCCAAUUCUAAGUAGUCUGCCCCCCUUAAUUCAUUGAAUUCUCAUAAUUGCUCUGUUAUUUUCACUAUUUCAAAGAUGAUUAGUGAUUAUUAUCUUCAUUUCAGAUUCUAAUCUCUUUUUGGUGGCUCAGAGAGUUAAGUGAGUUUUCUAAGGUCACACAGCAAGUAAGUGGCAGAGUGCUGGCAGCUGGGUUCAGAUUCUUCACUCUUAGCCAUGAAGCUGUGCCUGCUGAUUCCCAUUUCACAUCAGGUUUAAUGCCACUUACACCUUGGGGUUAAUGUGCCCCUCAUAGAGAUGAAGAAGGAAGGCUUAGGGUAGUUAUCCAACCCCGUGAUAGGUAGCCGGUCAGUGGCCUGGCCAGGAUUGAUCUCUGAGUCAGUCUUGACUUAAAAGCUUUGUUAGUUAACUUUCCACUGUGAAAAAAUACCUGAGAGAAACAACUCAAAAGAGGAAAGACAUUUGGCUCAUAGUUUCUGAGUUUUCAAUACAUGGGCAGCUGGUUCUGUUGCUCUGGGCCUAAGGUGAGACAGAACACCAUGGCAGAAGAGCACCGCAGAAGGAUAAUGCCAUCUCAUGACAGCCAGGAAGCAGGUGGGGGGUGGGGGGCGUUGUGAGGAAGGGGCCAGGACAAGAGGGCCCCACCCCAUCGACCACCCCCCCCCAAUGCCAUUAAAUUACGAACACAUAGGUGAUUAAUCACUUCCCAAAGGCCCUGCUCUGAACACUGCUGCACUGGGGACCCAGCCUUCAACACAUGAGCCUUUGGGCUCCAGAACUAAACUAUAACAGAAGCCCAAAUCUCAAGUUGUUACAGAAGCCCUGAUCAACAUAGCCUGCAGUCUGGAUUCUUUCUCAACCUCAUCAUUCUGAGGUUGCCUUUGACAUUGUCUGUGCUUCUCAAACCCAUAAUCCUACCUAUCUUCAGCCUCCCCAUCCAGAGAAGGUCUAAUUGUCAGCUUACAACAGGAUUUCAGGGGGCUGGUUUUAUUUUACAUAUGGAAAGAUCUUUUUAUUUGCAGAAUUUGUAAAACAUGAAAUGAUCCUCUUGGAAAUGUCAUAUGGCCUAUGACUCAGUCAUAUCCCAAUCCUAUUAGUUUUGUGUUUUGAUGCAAAGUUCUUCAGAUAUGAUGAUAAGUGCAUUGUUUUGGGUGCCAAUUUCCUCUUUCAGCAUAGAUCUACAUUUAGAAACUCUUUGUUUUCUUUCCCAAAUAUUUACAACUGUUCUUAAUUUACCAACUCAUUUCUGGUGGUUUCCUUCCCCACUCAUUGAGAAGUCAUACACUGAUUACAGAGAAAAUGAAAACUUGGAGCAUUGAAAAGGUUAUUAUGUUACCAAUAGAAAUCCCAAGACCUUUACUAGUAAUUACUUUUGUUUUGCAAAUAUUUGUGCAAUUCUUGCUCCCUUUAAUCUUGUUAUUUUCCAGAAAUUUAAAAAUAAUCUCAUGUUGCUAAGUUGUUUGAGAUGGUACUUAAAAAAAAAAAAGGAGAAGAAAGUGGCCGGAAUGUGAAAAUGUUGCCCAAGAAUUCCCAUCAGGCUGCAUUCUAGCCAUCUAUGAGUCUUCACAUCCAAGGAGAGUACAGGGUUCCUUGUGCUCUCCUGAGUGGCUGCUGGAUUCCAUCUCAUAAGUGACCCAAUUGAGAAUAGCAAAUGUUGUCCUCAGAGACUUUUGUUGGGCAUAAUAAUAUGAUGUGCCCAGCUUCACUGUGAACAGGAGAAACUGCAGGUGUGGGAUGGGCUCCAAGAGUCAGGAUUCACUGAAGGAAACAAUUAAUGUUGAGUAUUAUGGAGUACCUACCAUGAACCAGGCUUAAUACAAGACAUUAAAAAGCAAUGAGUGUCAGAAAGAGUAAACCAGAAAUGAAUGCACUGUUUACUUUGUUGUUGUUUGGGUUUGGGUUCAGAGACUGAACCCAGGGCCACUUUACCACUGAGCCACAUCCCCAGCCCUUUUUAAUUUUUUCUAAGUUGCUUAGGGCCUCUCUAAGUUGCUGAGUUUGGCUUUAAACUUGUGAUCCUCCCAGUCACUGGGAUUAUAGGUGUGGGCCACCAUGUGCAGCAAAUGAAUGCAUUUUGUUGCCACCAGGAUUGGGAGGAUAAAGAGUAGUAAGAAUGAUUGGAUGGAAUGAGCAGUCAGGAUCGGGAGGGAGCAAGCAGCUCCUCACUGAGCUUGGAUUUUUGUGUCCCUCUCAGCUAGAACCAUGGUAUUGUUCCACACAUCCAAGAAAUAAGCAAACCAUUGACAUCAACCAAAUGCAGGAGUGGGGGAUCCAACCUGCAUACAAACAGUAACAGAUGAGGCUGACUGCACUACAAUUGAUUAAUAUGACCACAUGGAAGGGAGUAAGAGGUUGCCUAAGUAACUUUGUAAAACAACAUUUUGGUUGGAUACUGUAAGGCUGAAGAUAAAAAAGCAUCACACCCCAAUGUCGUACUACAGUUAGUAAACUGUUUUCCCACAGGGGGUUGGGGUAGCUCUAAGUAUAUACUAGAAUUGAACAAGUUGGUAAAUAUGUUGUAGAUCAAGUUUCUCACUGCCAGAACAAGAGGUCACAAACAGAGAGGACUGAAAUGGACUUUGUGCUGAUGGAUGGGGGAGGAGAUAACUGUCAGAACUGAUGGUUUUAGAUGGGUGGGUGGAUGGAAGAUGCAUUAUAUACAUACAUAGGCGCCAAUAUAAAUGAAGAUGAGGGGUUAGUACACAUACGAGUAUUUCCUGCUUCUAUGCCCUGCCUCUCUUCACUGAGGGGACCUAAAAACUAACACCCAUGCAGCCAUAAGCACCUAGGGCUGACAUCUUGGUUUCUACACAGUAUUCCCAGUCAUGGGAACAGGUCCCUUGAAGAAGUUGUGGAUUCCAGGACCACAGCAAGGAAAGGACUAGAUUAGCCCGGAACAUUUGUAAUGCCAGAACAUAAGGAAGUGCUUCAGAAAGGCCCAGGCGUGGCAGAACACACAGAGGCCCACUCACAGGGUCUCUUAAUGCCAAAGUUGAAACAGUCUGCCACAAAAUAUACAGCCGCCACAGCAAAAUUGAUAUCCACAAGUCCACACUGACAUGAACAAAGAAGGAAGGGAUAAUACAGCUCUUCUUUACUGAAUAAUUCCAAUUAAUAAAUAAAAAGAAGGAGGGAAGUAGAAUAUCACCAGUAGGCAAAAAUUACAGUAAUUUUUAAAAAUAAUUUUGUAGUUGUAGAUGGACACAGUAUUUUUAUUUUAUUUAUUUAUUUUUAUAUGGUGCCAAGGAUCGAACCCAGUGCCUCACACAUGCUAAGCAAGUGCUCUACCACUGAGCCACAACCCCAGCCCAGUAUAGUAAUUUUUAUAAGCAAAAUUCACCAGUAGAAAUUAGGUUUGUGGGUGUAAAUUUGAGAAUAACCAGAAUAUUUGCAUAGUCUCAAAGUAUUUUCUUCAAUAUAUUUAUUAGUUAUAAGAUAACACAGAGAGAGUGUCUUUACAGUAGAAACCAUGAAAAGGACAUGUGUUUAUGGGAUGAAGAAGGCAAGGGUUACCUGCGGGACCCCAGCUGGGGAAGUGCGUAUUGAUGACUGAGUUUCUGCUGCUUGUGUGAACAUCUGUGAGUGACCCUGUGAACACCUCCAGGGUUUGCAAGUAGGCAAGUGCAUAGCAACAGGGGUCUGUGAGCAGAGAAGAUGGACUACUCACUUACUAUGUGUCCCUUUUAGAAAAGUUUGCCAGCCCCUAUUUUAAUUUAGUCUACCUUCAAAAAAUGUUCUACUUCAUAAACAAUUAAGAACCUUACAACUGUAUACUUCUAAUUUCCUCUUCCCCACUUUGUGCUGUUGUCAGAUUCUUUACUUCUAUCUAUACUCCAAGGAAUAAAUGCAGAUAACUACUUCGCCACUCACUCUAUAGCAGCACAAAAGCCCUGAUCUGUGGCAGUUACUAUCUUUAUGGUGUAAAACCUCCCACCAUGGCCAGUUUUAAGUGAGCAACAUGAUGUUACUAAACAUGAACUUGUGAAGACAUGCUUCCAGUCAACUCUGGCACACUAGUGGCUACAACCAGUUAUUAUUUUUUGUUUUAAAGAUCAAUUUUCUUUUAAAGAGAUUUAAAGAAAGAUGUGAGGUAUUUAUAAAGGUCCAUUAUGUAUUUCCACAAAAACAUCUCAUAGUGUAGAACUCUGAUUUGGCUGUGGCUUGAGUGUGUCUCCCAAGGGUUCAGGUGUUGAGAUUUAAUUUCCAGUGUGAGGUCUUAGGAGGGUGAAAAGUUAAUAUGACUAUGGUGUUUAGAGGUGAGGCUUCUAGGAGGCAAUUAGGAGUAGAUAAGGUCAUGAGGGUGGAGCCUCCAUGAUUGAUUCUGGUGGUUUUUUAAGAAGGGGGAGGGAGACCAGAGGAGACCCCCAUACAUCUGCACUCUGUUCUUGCCAUUUGAUGCCUGCACCACCUUGGAACUCUGCCAGCAGGAACGUCUUUAUUGGAUGCAGACCCAGGACCUUGGAUAGAACCAUGAGCCAAAAUGAAACCUCUUUCUGUUAAAGUUAUUCUGCCUUAGAUUGCAUUAUAGUAACAGAAAAUGUACCAAUACAGUAAGAAGGUACUCAUCUGAUAGGGAUGAAUUCUUUCUGCUUGUCUCUGUCUGAAAAUGAAUUUGUUUUGCUUUAACUUUGAAAAGAUGUUUUCACUAUUGAAUUCCUAAUUAUGUUUUUUCUUCUAAUACUUUAAAUGUGACUUUCCAUUGUCUUCUGGUCCCCAUUGUAUACAGUGAGAAAUCAGUGGUAUUUCUUAUCAUUGUUCCUUUGUGUAAUAAUUCUGCUUACCUUUGGUACCUUUCAAGAUUUUCUCUUUGUUUUUGUUUUUCAAUAGUUUGUGAUACAAGAAGCAUGAUUUUCUUUGUAUUUGUCUUAUUUAAGGUUCUCUGAGCUUCUUGGGUUUAUGGUUUAAUAUUAUCCAUUUAGAAAAAUUGUUAGCCAUUAACUUUGUAAAAAUUGCUUCUGCUUCACUCUCCUUUUCUAAGACUCCAGUUGCUUCAUUAAACCAAUGGUGUGCCCUCAGGUCUCAGAUACUCUGUCCUUCUCCUGUGCCCCGACUCUUUUUCAUAUUUGUAUUUCUGAUUAAUUUCCAUUAGCCUGUAUUCAUGACCACCAAUUCCCUCCUCUGUUGUACCCAGUCUCAUUCUAAGUCCCUCAAAAAGAUUCUUCAUUUCUGAUAUCCUGUUUUUUCAUUUCUAACAUUUAAAUUUUAAAAAAAUUUUUUAAAAAAAUUCAGAGUUAAAAAUUCAGAGUUAACUUAAUUUUUUUCCUUUUUCAUUAUUCUUUUUUUAUUUAUAUAUGACAGCAGAAUGCAUUACAAUUCUUAUUACACAUAUAGAGCACAAUUUUUCAUAUCUCUGGUUGUAUACUAAAUUUUAAAAAAAUCUUAAAAUUAAAAUUUAAAAAUUUAAUUUUAAAAUUAUAUCAUUUCCAUUUCUCUGCUGAAAUUUCCUA